AUAGGUUAAUGAGGCGAACCGGGGGAACUGAAACAUCUAAGUACCCCGAGGAAAAGAAAUCAACCGAGAUUCCCCCAGUAGCGGCGAGCGAACGGGGAGCAGCCCAGAGCCUGAAUCAGUGUGUGUGUUAGUGGAAGCGUCUGGAAAGGCGUGCGAUACAGGGUGACAGCCCCGUACACAAAAAUGCACAUAUUGUGAGCUCGAUGAGUAGGGCGGGACACGUGGUAUCCUGUCUGAAUAUGGGGGGACCAUCCUCCAAGGCUAAAUACUCCUGACUGACCGAUAGUGAACCAGUACCGUGAGGGAAAGGCGAAAAGAACCCCGGCGAGGGGAGUGAAAAAGAACCUGAAACCGUGUACGUACAAGCAGUGGGAGCACGCUUAGGCGUGUGACUGCGUACCUUUUGUAUAAUGGGUCAGCGACUUAUAUUCUGUAGCAAGGUUAACCGAAUAGGGGAGCCGAAGGGAAACCGAGUCUUAACUGGGCGUUAAGUUGCAGGGUAUAGACCCGAAACCCGGUGAUCUAGCCAUGGGCAGGUUGAAGGUUGGGUAACACUAACUGGAGGACCGAACCGACUAAUGUUGAAAAAUUAGCGGAUGACUUGUGGCUGGGGGUGAAAGGCCAAUCAAACCGGGAGAUAGCUGGUUCUCCCCGAAAGCUAUUUAGGUAGCGCCUCGUGAAUUCAUCUCCGGGGGUAGAGCACUGUUUCGGCAAGGGGGUCAUCCCGACUUACCAACCCGAUGCAAACUGCGAAUACCGGAGAAUGUUAUCACGGGAGACACACGGCGGGUGCUAACGUCCGUCGUGAAGAGGGAAACAACCCAGACCGCCAGCUAAGGUCCCAAAGUCAUGGUUAAGUGGGAAACGAUGUGGGAAGGCCCAGACAGCCAGGAUGUUGGCUUAGAAGCAGCCAUCAUUUAAAGAAAGCGUAAUAGCUCACUGGUCGAGUCGGCCUGCGCGGAAGAUGUAACGGGGCUAAACCAUGCAC
RNAcentral lists this ribosomal RNA (988 nucleotides) under Escherichia coli. RNAcentral describes it as "partial 23S ribosomal RNA". It matches the Rfam family "Bacterial large subunit ribosomal RNA", at positions 166 to 1194 of the family's 2925-position model. Lineage: Bacteria; Pseudomonadati; Pseudomonadota; Gammaproteobacteria; Enterobacterales; Enterobacteriaceae. The record is from RNAcentral.